AACGAACGCUGGCGGCGCGCCUAAUACAUGCAAGUCGAACGAGAAGCUGUAGCAAUACAGUUGUACAGUGGCGAACGGGUGAGGAAUACAUGGGUGACCUACCCUCGAGUGGGGAAUAACCAGCCGAAAGGUUGGCUAAUACCGCGUACGCUUCCCAGUCUACGGGUUGGGAAGGAAAGCGAUGCCGUGGGUAUCGCGCUCAAGGUUGGGCUCAUGUCCUAUCAGCUGUUGGUGGGGUAACGGCUCACCAAGGCAACGACGGGUAGCUGGUCUGAGAGGACGAUCAGCCACACUGGCACUGCGACACGGGCCAGACUCCUACGGGAGGCAGCAGUAAGGAAUAUUGCGCAAUGGGCGAAAGCCUGACGCAGCGACGCCGCGUGGGGGA
This 388-nucleotide ribosomal RNA is filed under the name uncultured bacterium. RNAcentral's name for it is "bacterial SSU rRNA". It matches the Rfam family "Bacterial small subunit ribosomal RNA", at positions 29 to 408 of the family's 1533-position model. The record is from RNAcentral.